RNAcentral lists this transfer RNA (63 nucleotides) under Pselaphinae sp. 7 EF-2015. RNAcentral's name for it is "tRNA-Leu". Lineage: Eukaryota; Metazoa; Arthropoda; Insecta; Coleoptera; Staphylinidae. The record is from RNAcentral.
AUUAUUUUGGCAGAUUAGUGCAUUAAAUUUAGAAUUUAAGAAUAUAUUUAUAUAUAAAUAAUA